Molecule: long non-coding RNA, 561 nt
Organism: Neofelis nebulosa (Clouded leopard)
Lineage: Eukaryota; Metazoa; Chordata; Mammalia; Carnivora; Felidae
Exons: 2
Source: RefSeq, a predicted model, not a curated record
CCUACGGAGGCCCAGAGAGUGGGUUCUACGGAGCGCGAGAAGGGCCAAGCGCGCGUCUGCGUGGUGUUAGCUCCCUGGUUCCUUGUCUUCCUCGUUAAGUCAGUACCUUGUAAUUUCCUGUCGAACCCAUUAACUGGGCCUUCCUGCACGGCCCGCUUUCGCAUCACUUCUCAGUUACUCUAGACGUCUGCGAGUGUGUCGUUUUGUGCGUGUUUUGUUGUGAAACGAAAGCCGGCACGUCUUCACUGCUAAAUUGUUCCCGAAAUUCGUAAACCCGCGCAGAUCGGGAUUCAGUAGGUGCAUUUUAUUAGGUGCAUUUAAAACGCCUACGACGCGCCAGACACAGGAACUGGGUUCGGGAUAUAGUAAAGAGAGAACGUAGUCUUUGAGAAAUCCGGCAUGAAUUUUGCCAUACAGACCUGGAAGAGUUAGGAGUGGAAUCUGAGAUCCCUGAAACUGACUUUUACUGAAAGCAACAUUUUGAAUUUUGCAUUGAUUGGUCAUUCUCCUGUCCCCAUUUCAAAACGCAAACAUAUGAAAUACGGCCGCAUAUAGUCAGUA